This 253-nucleotide ribosomal RNA is filed under the name uncultured bacterium. RNAcentral describes it as "partial 16S ribosomal RNA". It matches the Rfam family "Bacterial small subunit ribosomal RNA", at positions 524 to 776 of the family's 1533-position model. The record is from RNAcentral.
UACGUAGGGGGCAAGCGUUGUCCGGAAUCAUUGGGCGUAAAGAGCGUGUAGGCGGUCCGAUAAGUCCGCUCUGAAAGCCCGGGGCUCAACCCCGGGAGGCGGGCGGAUACUGUCGGGCUAGAGUCCGGAAGAGGCAAGUGGAAUUCCUGGUGUAGCGGUGAAAUGCGCAGAUAUCAGGAGGAACACCGAUGGCGAAGGCAGCUUGCUGGGACGGUACUGACGCUGAAGCACGAAAGCUAGGGGAGCAAACGGG